This 310-nucleotide ribosomal RNA is filed under the name uncultured bacterium. RNAcentral describes it as "bacterial SSU rRNA". It matches the Rfam family "Bacterial small subunit ribosomal RNA", at positions 211 to 507 of the family's 1533-position model. The record is from RNAcentral.
CCUUGCGCUGAUGGAUGAGCUCGCGUCGGAUUAGCUUGUUGGUGAGGUAAAGGCUCACCAAGGCGACGAUCCGUAGCUGGUCUGAGAGGAUGAUCAGCCACGACCGGGACUGAGACACCGGCCCGGACUCCGUACGGGAGGCAGCAGGUGGGGAAUCGUUGGACAAGUGGGGGCAACCCUGAUCCAGCCAUGCCGCGUGUGUGAAGAAGGCCUUCGGGUUGUAAAGCACUUUCAGCAGGGAGGAAGGCUUACCCCUAAUACGGGUGAGUACUUGACGUUACCUGCAGAAGAAGCACCGGCUAAUUUCGUG